GAUCACUAACCGGAGGAAGAUGGUGUGUAGGGAGGAUUUUGUGCUCUUCCCAGAUUGAAGCAGCAGCUGGAAGGUGCUGUUUGGAACAAGAAGAGCAGUUUUGAUAAACUCUUCAUUUUCACAGUAGCUAUUCUUCCUAAUACUGAGAGUUAAAAGAGGAUGGGAAGAAGAGCACUCUGGACAGCUAAGGAUAACAAGCAACAUUGAAAAGGAAGGCAAACCGAGGCAGAAAUCA
Protobothrops mucrosquamatus (brown spotted pit viper) is the source of this 235-nucleotide long non-coding RNA. RefSeq lists it as uncharacterized. The transcript has 3 exons. Lineage: Eukaryota; Metazoa; Chordata; Lepidosauria; Squamata; Viperidae. The record is from RefSeq and is a predicted model, not a curated record.